Molecule: ribosomal RNA, 441 nt
Filed under: uncultured bacterium
Lineage: Bacteria
Description: partial 16S ribosomal RNA
Rfam family: Bacterial small subunit ribosomal RNA
Source: RNAcentral
CCUACGUGAGGCAGCAGUGGGGAAUAUUGCGCAAUGGGGGCAACCCUGACGCAGCAACGCCGCGUGAUUGAAGACGGCCUUCGGGUUGUAAAGAUCUUUAAUCGGGGACGAAUUUUGACGGUACCCGAAGAAUAAGCUCCGGCUAACUACGUGCCAGCAGCCGCGGUAAUACGUAGGGAGCAAGCGUUAUCCGGAUUUACUGGGUGUAAAGGGCGUGUAGGCGGGCAUGCAAGCCAGAAGUGAAAUCUGGGGGCUUAACCCCCAAACUGCUUUUGGAACUGCGUGUCUUGAGUGAUGGAGAAGUAUGCGGAAUGCGUGGUGUAGCGGUGAAAUGCAUAGAUAUCACGCAGAACUCCGAUUGCGAAGGCAGCAUACCGGCGCUCAACUGACGCUCAUGCACGAAAGUGUGGGUAUCGAACAGGAUUAGAUACCCCAGUAGUC